Molecule: long non-coding RNA, 692 nt
Filed under: Equus asinus (donkey)
Lineage: Eukaryota; Metazoa; Chordata; Mammalia; Perissodactyla; Equidae
Description: lncRNA (ENSEASG00005035961.1)
Source: RNAcentral
CUGUGUCAAGAGGUGUGCGUUUAUCUGCCUGACGAGAUGAGGUCUCAGGGACCCCCACGUUCUUCAGCAGAUUUAUACCAUAACAAACGAGAUGUUCUCAAAGAAACUGGGACCAACAGUAGAGUUUGAAAUUUCACCUUGUAUUUCUUCCUGUUGGAGGAGUCUAAACAUCUGGGGCCCAGCUGUCAUGUGGAGUUGAUUCCACAGCUGUAUCAUGCCUUUCCUGCCCUUCCUCAUACUAUGCAUUUCUACAUGUAAAAUCUAGCAAUGGAUACAUGCACUUGCUUUGAAAAAAGUGAAAAGUGAAUCCAGGCAUGGAUAACCUACAGUUUUUAGAACAACCCAUGAAGUGGCUGGGGCAAGUAGUACUAUCCACAUUUGACAGAUGAGGAAACACAGACUGAGUGAGAUUGUGGCUUGCUGGUUACACAGCUAACAAGGGACGCCUCCUUCCAAGAACCCAUGUCUUCAGACAGCAAGUCUAGCACUCCUUGAACCACAUCGCCACCUCCACGUGUUGCCAUUUGGCUCAUCAGACAAAAACACUACUUAUGGCCUGGAUCUGCCCUGAGUCUCAAGGAGAAUUCUCACAGCAACUCUAAGUUAUUUUCACAAGGCGAGCAGAAGUUCCUGCUAAUAAUUCCUGGCUCUCUCUUAAUAUUGUCUUCCCUCCUAAUUAAAGAGGAAAUAUG